AUGUUGAAAUCCAAGAUGAUAAGACUAAGACGAAAGUUUUUGAAGAAUCUGUUCUAGAAAAAGAAGGUGAUAAGAAUGGGCAUGAAAAGCUUGAGAAAUCUAUCAUAGGGAACAAAAGAAGAUCAAGCUAUGGAGACUUCAAUGGAAAUUGAAGACAAUCAAGACAAGGAAAUGACAGUGAAAAUACAAAAGAGUUUACCAGCCUUAGGAGUCGAAUCUAACCAAAACGAAUGUCAAAAUCAUAAUCAAUGAGUCAAAAUUAGCAGGAAGGGUCCAGCCAAAAUUUUUGUUGAUGUGGAACUGAUGCUGAACUGACAGUGAUCUGGCGCUGAUGUCGGUGAGAACAAGAGCUGAAGAGCAGAACUAGGUGCUUAACAGCUCACAGUGGCCAGGUGAGCUUAAGCUUUAGACCCGAGUGGAUCCUGAUCUGACCUGGUUGGAUCUUACUAUAGCGGCAUUGGAAUUGAGUUCUAACCGCAGGGAGACAUCAAUCAGUGUGCCCGGUUGGGGGGGGAGGGGGAGAGGAGGAGGAGGAGGAGGAAG
Molecule: unclassified non-coding RNA, 543 nt
Filed under: Hevea brasiliensis (rubber tree)
Lineage: Eukaryota; Viridiplantae; Streptophyta; Magnoliopsida; Malpighiales; Euphorbiaceae
Source: RNAcentral